AACAAUAUCACCACCUACUGGUUUCUUUCGUAGUGUGUUUGUUUUGUUUCGUUUUUAGGACGCUUUGAGGAGUGCGUCAAAUCUUUUGUCACUAUUUGUGACGAAUAACAAAUUGUACGGUCCCGCAACGCUGCUCACCGCUGUCGAAGGCCUUGGUGGUUCCCUUCAGCACCUCCAGGGUGAGCGCGGCGAUGAUGUCCGCCUGGCGGGCGAUGGCCUGGGCUCGCUCCACGGCCUCCGCCCCCAGCGAGGUGAUCAUCUGGGUGCCGUUGAUCAGAGCCAGGCCCUGCCGGGAGCAGACGGAACAUAGGGUAUGUUGGAAUUACGCGACAGAAAUGACGCCAUUCACUCAUUUGCUGCGUGCUGCGUUCCCCAUAUUGCCAGCCGUUUUAGAGAAUUUUGACUGAUCUUUCAAGACCCACGGAGUAUUGUGUGCUGUGUCAAUAUUAACCAGAGAACCUGCCAAAAGAAACUCUUCUUUCACCAGAAAAAUAGUUCGUUUCUGGCUUUUUCCUUUCUUUUUGUAAUUAUCUGUAGAAAAUGGGUUGGUUUCAGCAAAAACACCAGUUUCUUACCAAAUGGUGGAGAAAACAGUGAUUUUUUUGACACAAAUAUUCCGGGCUUUUGUAACACCUCAAAUGAUGAAAACAACAAAAACAAAGACGGAAAAAGGGAUUUUGAUGGCAAAAUAAUCAUUUAUUUACUGAUAUACAACAAGAACAAAACACAGCGCGAGUAACGCUGACUCACCGCAUGGCUCGAGUCGAGUCGACAUGCCGUGCCUCAUUCACCAUCACCAUUUCUCACCAUCGUGACACCUACUUCUACUUUCUGCUACCUACUGCAGCACUACCAUACAUAUACAUACUCUGUUUUAGUUGAGUGAGGUGCCUCAACUUGUCCGAUUUCCAACGUGUUGGCAUUUCUCUCCCGGGUAAUCGAUGUUACAAGCCGAGAGUCACCGCCUAAUCGUUAUCUUCUACUUACGAGCUGUGCUGAUCUCAAAUCCAUAGCGAUGCAACGCCGACAUCCACGGGAAUCUGUUUGUCGCCGAGCUGAAUUUCACAGACAAGUACUUGUACGUACUUGACGAUGACUGUAAUGCACUUUAUUUUGGAGUCAGCCAGUCCUCCCCUCACUGUCUCUAGCUGGCCCAACUCCUAACUGGAGUAUGGACGAGGGAGCACAUGAGUCCCUCCGCUGGCUGCCAGUGCAGUUUUGAAUACAUUUGAAGAUUCUUUUAUUCCUUUUUAAAACUAUAAAUGGUCUUGCCCCGCCCACCUUACCUCGCUGAGCUACUCCAUCCCUCUGCCCCUGCCCAGUGCCUCAGGUCAGCCUAUCAGCUGCUUCUUGUGGUACCGAGGUCUAGGCUGAAGCUUUUCCGUCACUGGUCCCUCGUUAUGGAAUGACCUUCCUCUGCACAUCAGAGAAACCCCUUCACUGUCCGUUUUUAAAACCUGUCUUAAAACCCGCCUUAAGCCUCAGCAUCUGUUUUACUGUUGUCAUUUUUUCUGUUUGUUUUUUGUUUGAAUUGUUUAUCUUAAAUAGUUUGUAUUUCUUAAAAUGAUUUUUUGUUAUCUGUAUACAGCUGUGGUUGUAUUUAAAGUGCUUUAUAAAGAAAGUUGAGUUGAGAAAACACAUCGGUGGCAGUAAACGGUUGGAUUCCAGUUGACCAUAAUAAACGUCCACGGCCGUGAAUGAGUUCAUGGUGCACCCGAUUAAUGUUUUCCUUUGACUGAUGAGUCAACGAUAGAGUCCGCCGUAUACAAAUCCCGAUAUAAUGAUUUGGGAGAAGGGAAUGCGUGAAUGAUUCUGAACACAACCACAGUGUCUGUUUGCGUCCUGUAGUUGGGAUGGAUGAUGUAAUGUGGACCCUAGCUCCUUCUCUUUUGGGCAACAUUACCUCUUUGGGCUUCAGCGAUAUUGGCUUUAGCCCAUGGGCCGCCAGGACCUGGUCACAGAUGAAAGGAGGGAGACAAAAAAACGUUAAAGGUCAAGGGUCGUCAAUGGCAAACAUGUUUUCCCGUUGGACCUUGCAUCCUUCAGCGAGCAGGCCAGUCGGCCAGUCAGCAGCCGUGAAAGCUUAUCUUACGUAUUUGGCGUCGGCCCAUCCGCUCUUAGGCGACCACAUUUUACCCUCGCCCAUCAGUCCCAGGGCCAGGUGAGAGAGGGGCGCCAGGUCUCCGCUGGCACCCACCGUGCCCUUCUCGGGGACGAACGAGAGGCAGGAAGCUGCAACGUGAGACCCACGUCAUCCAACAACACAUACACUGCGACCUUGAUUCUGUUUUUCAUGUUACAAGCGGUUGCUCGGUCAAACUUUUUUUUUUUUUGCCUUGUGUCGCGAUUUGCCAUACGGGCGACCUUCAGAUGCACCUUCGCUCGAGCGAGGAGUACAAAACUGAGUAAUUCAGGCGCAUGUGCCUUUAUCGACACGGGACAAACUCAUAUACAACAUGAGAACACUUGCAAGGAGCAGACCCUCAUGCGAAACGAAUCAGCCUCACUUACUCCAGCUCUUGAGUGUAACUACUGUAUUGUAGUAUCUGUGUGUUUGAUGUGUUCCUUUAAGGGGCUUGGCCUGCUGAGUGACAUCGGAAGCUGGAGUCAGUUUGGCCGGUUAGUCCGCGUGUGAGCAUCUGGGCGUGAGUUGCGGCCUACGGCGGCUACUUGCAAGUGUUCUCUGCAAGUGCAUCGGCGACUGUGGCUCGCCUCGCCCACAUGCGACAAAUCCGCUUAACACUAAUCGAGCGACAGCCGGCUCGUAACGAAUAUGGUCCAGGUGGUGGUUCUCACCGUUGAAGGCCUGGAUCAUGGCGUGAAGGGUCUCCAGAGAGAUGCCGCUGUGCCCUUUGGCCAGAACGUUGAUCCUCAGAGCCAGCAGCAUGCGGGUCCUCUCCGGGCUCAGCGGGUUGCCCACACCUGCACACCGCUCUGACAUUUAAUGUCGUCAUUGUCUUUAGCACUUGUCUCUUUUAGGCUCUUGGGCGUCCAAAAGUAUGGUCAGCUCAGGUUUUUGACAUGAGGUAAAAAUGUCAUCAAAAUGAAGAAAAGUAUCAUUUUUUUCCCGCUGUUGAGACCCUAAGAAUUACUACUAACGCAUGCAAUGUAAAGGUCCCAUUUUUUUUCAUCAUAACAUGAUGACUUAGUUAACUUUGUCAUCUACAGUAUGCAGUUUGUGGGUCAGAUUUCCGUGUGUUUCUGAUGUAGAUGUAGAUAAUUAUUCAAGUACCUGCCCACUUUGUGGUUGGUACACGCCCACUCAACUCAGCUGAACGGCAACACGGCAUGUUGUGGGUUUUAAGUGAGCGACAUAUGACGGGAGACGUAUCAAAGACAACCCUCCGACAGCGCACCUUGACGUCGACCAAUACGAUUGCUUCUUUCAACGGUGUAUUGCCUCCCUUGCUUGCCGUUGACGGCUUUUAUUCACGCGCACAAACCAGUGUGUGCAUACAGGACACGUUUACAUACAAAUUGUAAUACAUACUAGCCGCUACAUAACGUGUAACCUGCUUGGAAGCUGCAUUAAAAUCUCCUUGAAUGGACAGCCCGAAACGUGACACCACGUGUUUUUUUCCCCCUCUUUUUGUUCUUAUUUUUCCCCAACAUUGCCGCGGCCAUCCAUGGUAACAGUUGUAUCCAUUUGCGGUGAAAGCUGACACAUUUUCUGGUCAUGCCUCCCCGACAUUGUUUGAUUUGACAAGACAAAGCCCAGUAAUCGUAAAAGAUGCGAUCCACUGGUAUCGGAAUACACGUCGUGUAAUGUUGCCACUGUCUGACCGAGAUACGGCAGUAGCCUGACAUAGUACAAUCGUGAAAGACCAAAUUUGCCUUGUAGUCUGAGCCAGGCAUUAGUGGGCCAACAAGCCAACGCUUGGUGAAUUCUGCUUCACAAUGAUAUGAAGACCCCACAUCCAAGGAUCCAACUCUCAACCGCCACAACAUGGUGUGAUAUCGCCAAGGACUAAUCAGCGCAAAGCUGUAUUCCACAUAUAAAUUCACAAUAACAGUGAUCCAAUCAGAGGAAAGCUUAUUUACAUAUCAAAUCGUAAUGAGAAAUGAGACUAUCUUAAUUGCCAGGCGUAAAAGACCGACUAGAGUCGCUUGAAAAGGGCAUCCUGGGAAUUUCUGACCCAAAUUAUCUUGCAAACCCCCCCCCCCCCCAAAAAAAAAUUUAAACUUUGAAAUCAGAAAAAUAUGUAUGCAAUCAUGUUUGUAAUUGGAGUUUACCUGCUGAGUGUGAGCGCACCAGGUUCUCUUGCAGCUCCCUGUGCAACACAUACACACACACAAAAAAACACUCAAAAACUCAGGUUUUAGCUCCAAACAUUUGAAUUAUUAAAAUGCGUGUUUUUUAUUACUUGAGUUUGCUGACAGGAAUGACGGUCCGAGCAAAUUUGCCGAAACCGGUCGUGAUCCCGUACACAACUGCAAUGGAGACCGAUACAAACGAACAACUGAGUUGUGUAGGUUUGAACACAAUAUCAUGUUUGUGUUGAUCUGACCUACCUUUGUUUUCCUUGACGAUGGUGUCCAAAAGUUCUCUGGAUUGCACAACUUUCCUCUCUGCCUCAGAGGUCAGCUGAAAGGUUAGGCGGGACGCAAAAAAAAAAAAAAAAAAAAAAAAAAAAAAGAAAACGUGAGUGGAAGAUCAGCACUGACAAUCUGGAGUGUUUGGAUCGUUACUGACUGUUAUCUUGUAGAGGCCUCUGCCUAAGUUGACCAGGUCUGUCGAGGUCAGGCUGUUGCCAUCCAAACAAAUAUACUGCGGAGGUCACAAAAAACAAUGUGUUCCCUAAGCACAAAAAAAGCAGAAUAAAUGCGUAGACUUACAUCUCCGGGUUCUCUGUAUGCCGCUGUGCUAUUUUGUUUGCGCGAUUCGUGUAAGGAUAACAGUUAGGACCGUUCACAUGGAAAUGUCAUUGAACUUAUAAAA
Phyllopteryx taeniolatus (common seadragon) is the source of this 4939-nucleotide long non-coding RNA. RefSeq lists it as uncharacterized. The transcript is spliced from 2 exons. The record is from RefSeq and is a predicted model, not a curated record. Lineage: Eukaryota; Metazoa; Chordata; Actinopteri; Syngnathiformes; Syngnathidae.